This 487-nucleotide ribosomal RNA is filed under the name uncultured bacterium. Its description in RNAcentral is "bacterial SSU rRNA". It matches the Rfam family "Bacterial small subunit ribosomal RNA", at positions 28 to 507 of the family's 1533-position model. The record is from RNAcentral.
GAUGAACGCUAGCGGAGGCUUAACACAUGCAAGGUCGAGGGGCAGCAUAGGGUAGCAAUACUCUGAUGGCGACCGGCAAACGGGUGAGUAACGCGUAUGCAACCUACCCUGUACAGGGGGAUAACCCGGAGAAAUUCGGACUAAUAUCCCGUAAUAAUAUCCGGAGGCAUCUUUGGAUAUUUAAAGUUCCGACGGUACGGGAUGGGCAUGCGUAACAUUAGCUGGUUGGUAAGGUAACGGCUUACCAAGGCUAUGAUGUUUAGGGGUCCUGAGAGGGUGGUCCCCCACACUGGUACUGAGACACGGACCAGACUCCUACGGGAGGCAGCAGUGAGGAAUAUUGGUCAAUGGGCGCAAGCCUGAACCAGCCAUCCCGCGUGCAGGAAGACGGCCCUAUGGGUUGUAAACUGCUUUUCCAGGGAGAGAAACUUACGCACGUGUUGCGUGACUGACGGUACCCUGGGAAUAAGCAUCGGCUAACUCCGUG